RNAcentral lists this ribosomal RNA (399 nucleotides) under uncultured bacterium. RNAcentral's name for it is "bacterial SSU rRNA". It matches the Rfam family "Bacterial small subunit ribosomal RNA", at positions 30 to 429 of the family's 1533-position model. The record is from RNAcentral.
AUUGAACGCUGGCGGCAUGCCUUACACAUGCAAGUCGAACGGCAGCACGGGAGCUUGCUCCUGGUGGCGAGUGGCGAACGGGUGAGUAAUGCAUCGGAACGUGCCCUGAAGUGGGGGAUAACGUAGCGAAAGUUACGCUAAUACCGCAUAUUCUGUGAGCAGGAAAGCAGGGGAUCUUCGGACCUUGCGCUUUUUGGAGCGGCCGAUGUCGGAUUAGCUAGUUGGUGGGUAAAGGCCCACCAAGGCGACGAUCCGUAGCGGGUCUGAGAGGAUGAUCCGCCACACUGGAACUGAGACACGGUCCAGACUCCUACGGGAGGCAGCAGUGGGGAAUUUUGGACAACGGGCGCAAGCCUGAUCCAGCCAUGCCGCGUGAGUGAAGAAGGCCUCGGUUGUAAG